UGGGGAAUAUUGGGCAAUGGGCGCAAGCCUGACCCAGCAACGCCGCGUGAGGGAAGAAGGUCUUCGGAUUGUAAACCUCUGUCCUUGGUGACGAAACAAAUGACGGUAGCCAAGGAGGAAGCCCCGGCUAACUACGUGCCAGCAGCCGCGGUAAUACGUAGGGGGCGAGCGUUGUCCGGAAUUACUGGGCGUAAAGGGUGCGUAGGUGGCCUUUUAAGUUGGAUGUGAAAUACCCGAGCUUAACUUGGGGGGUGCAUCUAAUACUGGGAGGCUAGAGUGCAGGAGAGGGAAGCGGAAUUCCUAGUGUAGCGGUGAAAUGCGUAGAUAUUAGGAGGAACACCAGUGGCGAAGGCGGCUUUCUGGACUGUAACUGACACUGAGGCACGAAAGCGUGGGGAGCAAACA
This 405-nucleotide ribosomal RNA is filed under the name uncultured prokaryote. RNAcentral describes it as "bacterial SSU rRNA". It matches the Rfam family "Bacterial small subunit ribosomal RNA", at positions 355 to 774 of the family's 1533-position model. The record is from RNAcentral.